This 73-nucleotide transfer RNA is filed under the name Nomascus leucogenys (northern white-cheeked gibbon). It matches the Rfam family "tRNA". From Rfam's summary of the family: Transfer RNA (tRNA) molecules are approximately 80 nucleotides in length. Their secondary structure includes four short double-helical elements and three loops (D, anti-codon, and T loops). The record is from Rfam by way of RNAcentral. Lineage: Eukaryota; Metazoa; Chordata; Mammalia; Primates; Hylobatidae.
ACCUGGAUAGUUCAGUUGGUAGAGCAUCAGACUUUUAAUCUGAGGGUCCAGGGUUCAAGUCCUUGCUCAGGCG